Molecule: ribosomal RNA, 396 nt
Filed under: Phylloscopus castaniceps castaniceps
Lineage: Eukaryota; Metazoa; Chordata; Aves; Passeriformes; Phylloscopidae
Description: Seicercus castaniceps castaniceps partial 12S ribosomal RNA
Rfam family: Bacterial small subunit ribosomal RNA
Source: RNAcentral
GCCUGGCCCUAAAUCUUGAUGCUCGAUCUUACCGGAGCAUCCGCCCGAGAACUACGAGCACCAACGCUUAAAACUCUAAGGACUUGGCGGUGCCCCARACCCACCUAGAGGAGCCUGUUCUGUAAUCGAUGAUCCACGAUAUACCUGACCAUUCCUUGCCAAAUCAGCCUAUAUACCGCCGUCGCCAGCCCACCCAGCAUGAAGGCCCAACAGUGGACGCAAUAGCCCAACCGCGCUAAUAAGACAGGUCAAGGUAUAGCCUAUGGAAUGGAAGCAAUGGGCUACAUUUUCUAAGCUAGAACACAACGGCAAAGGGAUAUGAAAUUGUCCCUGGAAGGAGGAUUUAGCAGUAAAGUGGGACAAUCGAGCCCUCUUUAAGCCGGCCCUGGAGCACGU